UACGAAGGGGGCUAGCGUUGCUCGGAAUCACUGGGCGUAAAGGGUGCAUAGGCGGGUCUUUAAGUCAGGGGUGAAAUCCUGGAGCUCAACUCCAGAACUGCCUUUGAUACUGAAGAUCUUGAGUUCGGGAGAGGUGAGUGGAACUGCGAGUGUAGAGGUGAAAUGCGCAGAUAUCAGGAAGAACACCCGUGGCUAAGGCGGUUCUCUAGUACGGUACUGACGCUGAGACGCGAAAGCGUGGGGAGCGAACAGG
RNAcentral lists this ribosomal RNA (253 nucleotides) under uncultured bacterium. RNAcentral's name for it is "partial 16S ribosomal RNA". It matches the Rfam family "Bacterial small subunit ribosomal RNA", at positions 524 to 776 of the family's 1533-position model. The record is from RNAcentral.